This 23-nucleotide small nuclear RNA is filed under the name Arabidopsis thaliana (thale cress). RNAcentral's name for it is "snRNA_10629". The record is from RNAcentral. Lineage: Eukaryota; Viridiplantae; Streptophyta; Magnoliopsida; Brassicales; Brassicaceae.
GAGAAAUUUGUGAAUUCUUCCCU